Molecule: ribosomal RNA, 482 nt
Filed under: uncultured bacterium
Lineage: Bacteria
Description: SSU rRNA
Rfam family: Bacterial small subunit ribosomal RNA
Source: RNAcentral
AGGACGAACGCUGGCGGCGUGCUUAACACAUGCAAGUCGAGCGGUGAUCCUCCUUCGGGAGGUGAGCAGCGGCGAACGGGUGAGUAACACGUGGGCAACCUGCCCCUCACACUUGGAUAACCUCGGGAAACCGGGGCUAAUACCGGAUAUGACCUCGAGCGGCAUCUCUUGAGGUGGAAAGCUCCGACGGUGAGGGAUGGGCCCGCGGCCUAUCAGCUUGUUGGUGGGGUAAUGGCCUACCAAGGCGACGACGGGUAGCCGGCCUGAGAGGGCGACCGGCCACACUGGGACUGAGACACGGCCCAGACUCCUACGGGAGGCAGCAGUGGGGAAUAUUGCGCAAUGGGCGAAAGCCUGACGCAGCGACGCCGCGUGAGGGAUGAAGGCCUUCGGGUUGUAAACCUCUUUCAGCAGGGACGAAGCGAAAGUGACGGUACCUGCAGAAGAAGCACCGGCUAACUACGCGCCAGCAGCCGCGGUAA